UUAGUGCUGCAGCUAACGCAUUAAGUAAUCCGCCUGGGGAGUACGACCGCAAGGUUGAAACUCAAAAGAAUUGACGGGGGCCCGCACAAGCGGUGGAGCAUGUGGUUUAAUUCGAAGCUACGCGAAGAACCUUACCAGGUCUUGACAUCUUCUGACAGUCUAAGAGAUUAGAGGUUCCCUUCGGGGACAGAAUGACAGGUGGUGCAUGGUUGUCGUCAGCUCGUGUCGUGAGAUGUUGGGUUAAGUCCCGCAACGAGCGCAACCCUUAUUACUAGUUGCCACCAUUAAGUUGGGCACUCUAGUGAGACUGCCGGUGACAAACCGGAGGAAGGUGGGGACGACGUCAAAUCAUCAUGCCCCUUAUGACCUGGGCUACACACGUGCUACAAUGGAUGGUACAACGAGUCUCCAUACCGCCAGGUUAAUCUAAUCUCUUAAAACCAUUCUCAGUUCGGACUGUAGGCUGCAACUCUCCUACACUAAGUCGG
Molecule: ribosomal RNA, 488 nt
Filed under: Pediococcus pentosaceus
Lineage: Bacteria; Bacillati; Bacillota; Bacilli; Lactobacillales; Lactobacillaceae
Description: bacterial SSU rRNA
Rfam family: Bacterial small subunit ribosomal RNA
Source: RNAcentral